UACGUAGGGUGCGAGCGUUGUCCGGAAUUACUGGGCGUAAAGAGCUCGUAGGUGGUUUGUCGCGUUGUUCGUGAAAACUCACAGCUCAACUGUGGGCGUGCGGGCGAUACGGGCAGACUAGAGUACUGCAGGGGAGACUGGAAUUCCUGGUGUAGCGGUGGAAUGCGCAGAUAUCAGGAGGAACACCGGUGGCGAAGGCGGGUCUCUGGGACGGUACUGACGCUGAGACGCGAAAGCGUGGGGAGCGAACAGG
RNAcentral lists this ribosomal RNA (253 nucleotides) under uncultured bacterium. RNAcentral's name for it is "partial 16S ribosomal RNA". It matches the Rfam family "Bacterial small subunit ribosomal RNA", at positions 524 to 776 of the family's 1533-position model. The record is from RNAcentral.